GCUGCUGUGAGACCUCUCGCGAUAAGGAUCAGCCCAAACCGGAGCGAGUGGAAUGAGGCUGUAUUCCUGCAGCCUCGGUGCUGCUAGGAGUAAGAAGCAACGCAAAGGAUGCUGCUGGAACAGAAGUUUUCUCCUAUUCUCAGGCUGAGUAACGGCUGUAGCAGAGCCUCUCGUCAGCCCAAACCGGGGCAAAUGAGGAACUCAUGGAUGAACUCAAAGGGAAGAAGGAAGAGGUGGCGUGAGGAAGGCUAAGGCCCUCUCAUCACCUUUAGGAGGGAGAUCAAGGCUAACAGGAAAAAGGUUAGAGAAUGUGUGGGCCUCUGCCUUACAAGGUGGAGGCCCCAGUAAUGGAGGAUGCAUUUCUGCUUUCAGUUGCUGCUGCUGAGACUGCUCCUUGGGAACCCUGGAGGAAAGAUGACUUCAUGAUUGUGGAAGAGCUGAUCAAAGGAGGGGUGCAUGAAGACUGGAGAAUAGCUGAUGUCACUGCAGGCUUCAGAAAGGGUGAGAAGGCUGGCAUCACCUCUGUUCCUGGAAAGAUGUUGUAUCAACUUGUUCCAGAUAUUAUCUCUAGGUGA
RNAcentral lists this long non-coding RNA (575 nucleotides) under Phasianus colchicus (ring-necked pheasant). RNAcentral describes it as "lncRNA (ENSPCLG00000017820.1)". Lineage: Eukaryota; Metazoa; Chordata; Aves; Galliformes; Phasianidae. The record is from RNAcentral.